This 230-nucleotide ribosomal RNA is filed under the name uncultured bacterium. RNAcentral describes it as "partial 16S ribosomal RNA". It matches the Rfam family "Bacterial small subunit ribosomal RNA", at positions 562 to 791 of the family's 1533-position model. The record is from RNAcentral.
AAAGCGUGCGCAGGCGGUUAUAUAAGACAGAGGUGAAAUCCCCGGGCUCAACCUGGGAACUGCCUUUGUGACUGUAUGGCUAGAGUGUGUCAGAGGGGGGUAGAAUUCCACGUGUAGCAGUGAAAUGCGUAGAUAUGUGGAGGAAUACCGAUGGCGAAGGCAGCCCCCUGGGAUAACACUGACGCUCAUGCACGAAAGCGUGGGGAGCAAACAGGAUUAGAUACCCCAGU